Molecule: long non-coding RNA, 802 nt
Organism: Brassica oleracea var. oleracea
Lineage: Eukaryota; Viridiplantae; Streptophyta; Magnoliopsida; Brassicales; Brassicaceae
Exons: 3
Source: RefSeq, a predicted model, not a curated record
UGACACAUCUCUCCUCUUUGUUCUAUGGAGGCGCGGGCAGCUGAACUUCUUCCUUUAGAACACCGUCAACAUCACCUUAGAUGUGAAAAGAACAUCAGGGAAAGCGACCAGCACUAACCUUCUUAACUCACCGUCAAAUCUACGAACCGCGACGGAGCACUGAGCGACCCCACUCCGCAAUAUCCCGAAACCGAAAAUCCUCCACACCUUCCCCACUGUCCUCAAACGGGAUCCUCACCUGGAAGGAGCAACGCUGGCUCCCGCUACUGUGUGGUGACCCGCUCCCCGUAGCUCGCCGGAUCCACCGCUUCUCAUCACGAUCUUAAAGAGAAAGCGAGCAUCCAUCUAGACCUGCACCUCACUAACAGGUCAUGUUGCUUAAUCCAACGAAGUAAACAAGAAAUCGAAGAACCCUCUCUCACAAUUCAAAAUCCAGUUCUAAUAUGAACGGAUUUGGAGCAUCUCUCAUAGAGAAUUCAUGGUAACGUGAAUUUGUUGCACCAGGUCUUUAGGAGACUUUCAGCCAAAGCGAAGAUAAACUCAUAAGUUCUCUUCUACUUGACAUGUUGCGUGAAUUAGCCUCUUCAGUUAGUUCAAAGUGAUUCUCUUCAGAGAGAUAAUAACUUUCUUGAAUGCUUAAACCUCAAAGCAAAUCUCAAUAUAUACACUAUAACCAAGAGAAGUCGCAAAUCAAUGCAAGGAGUGACAAGACAGUGAGCAUCAGUGAAAUCAAACUAAAUAGUCAGUUUUAGAUUGUUGGAAGGGUAAGUGUUCUCUUAUGUUUAAUAAAGUGACACCUGAA